RNAcentral lists this ribosomal RNA (3128 nucleotides) under Philactinoposthia sp. UJ-2011-1. RNAcentral's name for it is "eukaryotic LSU rRNA". It matches the Rfam family "Eukaryotic large subunit ribosomal RNA", at positions 77 to 3087 of the family's 3401-position model. The record is from RNAcentral. Lineage: Eukaryota; Metazoa; Xenacoelomorpha; Acoela; Childiidae.
CCGUUAGUAACGGCGAGUGAACACGGAGAAGCUCAUCGAUGAACGGGAAUCUUUUGAUUUCCCGGUGUUCGGUUACGGAUCGGUGGCGGAUUGUUUUGUUGCGCAAUAAUCCUGCUGGAAAGCAUGAUCAAAGAGGGUAAUAAUCCCGUAUAUGUGCUUCAAUUCAAUCAUUGCUCCUUUCUAGUGAGUAGAGUUAUUUGAAAAUGUAACUCAAAGUGGAGAUAUGUCUCUCCAAAAGCUAAAUAAAAUGCGAGACCGAUAGCAAACAAGUACCGUGAGGGAAAGUUGAAAAGCACUCUGAAGAGAGAGUGAAAAGUACGUGAAACCGUUGAGGGGGAAAGGAAGAGUACGUUAACUGUCUUCAGUGCCUUGUACUUCGUCUACAGGGUUAAGGAAGGAUGUAGUUAUUUUCUAUAGUUUUUGUCAGAGGACUUUGCUUCAUUUAGCUUCGGUUAAAUGUCGAAAGGUCUCUUUGUCUGAAUUAGAUGCUUUCUUAUUCUGUUUUAACAAUGGGGAGUAACUUCAUUUUCAAUGUGCUCUCCCACCCGUCUUGAAACACGGACCAAGGAGUUUGGGUUGCCCGCGAGUGAAUGUGCGGUUGAAUGCGCAUUCGCGAAGUGAAAGCAAAUAUGUGUUCUUAACAGAAUUGCAUGCUCAUUUGGUGAUAGCACUAGAACAGUGUCUUGCAACCAAAGACGGUUUCGCCUUUAAGUGCUUAAUCGAUCUGGAGCGGGUAACACAAGACCCGAAAGAUGGUGAUCUAUGCUUGGGCAGAGUGAAGCCACGGGAAACCAUGGUGGAAGCUCGCAGCGGUUCUGACGUGCAAAUCGAUCGUCUGACCCAAGUAUAGGGGCGAAAGACUAAUCGAACCAUCUAGUAGCUGGUUCCCUCCGAAGUUUCCCUCAGGAUAGCGAAAGCUCAAAUAAACUGCUUUUAAAACAGUUUCAUCGGGUAAAGCGAAUGAUUAGAGGCCUGGGGAAUUCCGUAUUCUUCACCUAUUCUCAAACUUUAAAUCGGUGAGAUGUCUUUGUGACUUAAUUGCACAUCGACUAUUGAAUGUGAGCUUUCAGUGGGCCGUUUUUGGUAAGCAGAACCGGCGAUGUGGGAUGAACCAAACGUUGAGUUAAGGCGCCUAACUACUUGCUCAUGAGUAACCACAAAAGGUGUUGAUUGAUAUUGACAGCAGGACGGUGGCCAUGGAAGUCGGAAUCCGCUAAGGAGUGUGUAACAACUCACCUGCCGAAUCAAUCAGCCCUGAAAAUGGAUGGCACUUGAGCUAGUGGCCUAUACUCAACCGUGAACACCAAAGUCUGACAUUUGGCUGCUCCUUGUGGGUAGUUUCAGUCGGAAUACAAUUUUAAUUAUGUGUUCACGAGUAGGAGGGAACAGCGGUUGCGUUAAAGUGUAUGCGUGAGCGUAUGCGUCAAGCGGCCGUUGGCUCAGAUCUUGGUGGUAGUAGCAAGUACUCAAAUAUGAACUUUGAGGACUGAAGCGGGCAAGGUUUUCAUGUGAACAGUGUUUGAACAUGAGUUAGUCGAUUCUUAGAGACAGGCUAACGCCUAUUGUACUGUAGUGUAUUGAAAACUACUUGGUCUCGAAAGAGCAUAGGGUUAAUAUUCCCUAACUGCGCCUAUCGGUAAUAACGGCGGUAACGCCAGCGUAACUCAAUUAGUCAAUGUGAGCUUGGGGAAGAGUUUUCUUUUCUUUAUAACCAGUAGUGUUGCCUUGGAAUUGAUUCAAUCAGAGAUAAGGAACCGAGACUGGGAAGAGCACAGCAGCAUUUGUUGUGUCCCAAUUGUUUGCAUUGUCCCUUGAAGAUUGAGCGUAGCUAAUACCAAUAGGUACAAUCGUACCCAUAACCGCAUCAGGUCCCCAAGGUGAGAAGCCUCUGGUCUUGGAACAGUGUAGGUAAGGGAAGUCGGCAAAAUUGAUCCGUACCUUAGGAAGAAGGAUUGGCUCUGAUGAUUGGGUGUAACAAGCCUUGAGUUUGAAACGUCGGUACUCGUCGGUGUGCGAUGGUGUCUGUCCGCCUUCACGGGUGUUCGGAUGUCGUUGGCGCUAACUUGGACUGUUCGUGGACUGACUUUUGGUCUUUCUCUGUUGCACAUUUAACAAUCAAGCUCAGAACUGGUUCGGACAAGAGGAAUCCGACUGGUUAAUUAAACCAAAGCAUUGCGAUGGCUGGUGAACUGGUGUUGACGCAAUGUGAUUUCUGCCCAGUGCUCUGAAUGUCAAAGUGAAGAAAUUCAAUAAAGCGCGGGUAAACGGCGGGAGUAACUAUGACUCUCUUAAGGUAGCCAAAUGCCUCGUCAUCUAAUUAGUGACGCGCAUGAAUGGAUUAACGAGAUUCCUACUGUCCCUAUCUACUAUCCAGCGAAACCACAGCCUUGGGAACGGGCAAGGCGUAGUCAGCGGGGAAAGAAGACCCUGUUGAGCUUGACUCUAGUCUGAUUUUGUGAAGUGGCUCGAAAGGUGUAGCAUAGGUGGGAGCUUAACGGCGCCAGUGAAAUACCACUACUUUCGGUGUCACUUUACUAAUCCAGUGAAAAUGCGAGACUCUUAAUUGGGUUUCUUGAAGAGAAAGCUUGUGAUUGUUUAACCGCAAAUCGGGCGUGCAUACCUGGAGACAGAAUCAGGUGGGGAGUUUGACUGGGGCGGUACAUCUGUAAAAAGAUAACGCAGGUGUCCUAAGGCGGACUCAGCGGGGACAGAAACCUCGCGUAGAGCAAAAGGGCAAAUGUCCGCUUGAUCUAGAUUUUCAGUGUGAUUACAGACUGCGAAAGCGUGGCCUAUCGAUCCUUUUGGUUUUAGAGACUUUAAACAAGAGGUGUCAGAAAAGUUACCACAGGGAUAACUGGCUUGUGGCAGCCAAGCGUUCAUAGCGACGUUGCUUUUUGAUCCUUCGAUGUCGGCUCUUCCUAUCAUUGCGAAGCAGAAUUCGCAAAGUGUUGGAUUGUUCACCCACUAACAGGGAACGUGAGCUGGGUUUAGACCGUCGUGAGACAGGUUAGUUUUACCCUACUGACCAUUAUUACUCUAUUACUGCCUGCUUACUUACAGCAAUCCCACUUAGUACGAGAGGAACCGUGGGUUCGGACACUUGGUUUCAACGCCUGUUUGAGAAAACA